GAAAUAUAAAAUCGAGAAAAGCUUCUAACUUUUCACUGUAGCAGUGAAAUUCUGUUAAUAUUUCU
This 65-nucleotide transfer RNA is filed under the name Ptosima chinensis. Its description in RNAcentral is "tRNA-Ser". Lineage: Eukaryota; Metazoa; Arthropoda; Insecta; Coleoptera; Buprestidae. The record is from RNAcentral.